Molecule: ribosomal RNA, 93 nt
Filed under: Cordyceps militaris
Lineage: Eukaryota; Fungi; Ascomycota; Sordariomycetes; Hypocreales; Cordycipitaceae
Description: partial 26S ribosomal RNA
Rfam family: Eukaryotic large subunit ribosomal RNA
Source: RNAcentral
GUUGACCUCGGAUCAGGUAGGAAUACCCGCUGAACUUAAGCAUAUCAAUAAGCGGAGGAAAAGAAACCAACAGGGAUUGCCCUAGUAACGGCG